UGGUGGUGGGUGGACUGUUGGUCUGGAUAAUCUUGGAGGUCUUUUCCACCAUUGGUGAUUCUAAUGAUUCCCAUUAAUUAUAAUGGGUGGUGUUCUCAAAUCCACAAAAAUUUAUAUUUCUCCCUGGUAAAGCACCAAUGCAAUUAAAGCAGCAAAAGCAAGAAUAUUCCCUGAGAGCCACAGACUUACUUGUGUAGAUCAUGUCUCUGGUGUAUGGUAGCAGAGCCUGGUAAGGAUGACUAACAGAAUUUCAGGCCAAAAUGGGAAUCCAUUUCUGGCUGUCAGAACUCCAGGAACAGUGCACAUUUGAGCCAUCCAUGGGUGCUCCAUCUACCUUCAGCUCUGGAAACAACCUCUGAAAUAGAGGUGUGUAAAGGUAACUUAAAACUAAAGGACCUUUCCAGGGAGAGAAGCGUUAAUCUUUAGCCAUGAUCUGCAUGAAGUAAGCAGCUGAACCCUUGGAAUGGCACUUUUACCAGAAAUCUGCUUCACCUCAACAUCAGCUCUUUUCUAGAUGUAGUUCAGUGUGCUAUAUUCAGAGCUCAGAAAGCAAUCCAUGCUGAGCUGGGUUUACUUCGGGCAUUUUAUCCAGCAGCGGUGACCUCUAGAGAGCCUUUCACACUGCUCAUUGUGCUGUAACUCAGCAGUGACAGAACAAUGUGGGAGAGGUGAGGCCUUGCCCAGAGCCCACAGCUGUAUCUAACUUGGCUGCCCCCAUACCCUGGCAUAGGCCAUGGGUCAGGGCUUCUCCUGUCCCACUCUGGGCUUCUUCCUGGAUCUGUGUGGACAGGAAUGUGGGACAUCACAUAGGCAAUGCCAUACACAGCAGGUAAAACUUCAGUGCUGCUGCUACGUGUAUGGAAGGAGUCUGCACAGCUGGACUGCUGUGGGGGACGUGUGAAGUCGCCAUCCCUGGAGGUGAUCAAGAAAUGUGGGAUAUGGCACUGAGGGACGUGAUCGAGCAGGCAGCCAGGCAGGAUCACCAGCAGUGUACCUGUUCAGCAAGCAGGGCAGCUCCAGAGGAUGUAGAAGUGAAAAAACAAGCUGUGACAGACAGCUGGGGCAAAUGAAUGAGAAGGGAAAUGGCAAAGGAGCAAACCAGUGUGACACAUCAGCACAGAUCACCUCACCACAGAUGGAUUUGCCUGGGAAGACUCAGCCAUGAAAAGUAUUUCAGAGCCCCUGAUUGGACCUCAGGUCCUGCAUGACAGUGUUCAGCACUAUACUCUCAGGCUGCCUUUCAGGGAAGGUGCCUCAUCCAGGAAAGAGUUUGCAGAGAAUAUUCAUGGUGGGUUCCUCACUACAGUGUAUGUUAAACUCUUACUUAGGUCAAAGCUGCUGGGAACAUUAAGGUCUAUCUGUGGUCUUUCCAUAGAGACAGUAGUGGUCAUCUGCAGAAAUUGCCUCACACCUGGAGGAGCAGAAGUAUGUUUUUUAACUUAACAAAGGUUACUGAAGUGUUGGCUAGAUUGAGGAGCAGACUGCCUAACCUCAUGUCAAUUUUAUUAGCAUUAAAAGAGCUUAAAUUUAUAACUGAAAAUAUAAUUUAUGAGUUCUGACUUCUAUUUUUUUUCCAAGUGCAUAACCUCUAUAUAUCUUCACUGCAUUUCUAAGCUUACUGGGCUGUCAGCAUAUGUGUAUCCUGAGAGUUGAGAGAUAAAUAAUUAUGUGUGAUCUUUCAUGUUUACUGUUUGAGUAAGAUCCAAACUGUCCCUGUGCACAAGGAGACAAAGGCAGAAAAAGCUGUGUCUACAUGAUCUGGUAAUGCAGUCCAGUAGGGAUAGAUUUGUAGAGCACUGGAGCUCUAAGGUCCAAAGCCAGACUAUCCAUGCAUCCACAUUCCAUGAUAUUCAUGAAUUAAGAUACUUCCCUUUAGAAGAGUCCAGUCCAGACCUGUCAGUGGCCAGUAGAGAUUGGAACAAUGCGGUAUGGAUGUCUCACAUCUCCCAGUUCAGUUUAAUUGGAAGAAAAUCUGGUUUGUGCACUCGGUAGUCAUGAUGUGUUGCAAACCAACGUGUGUGAGAAGUGAAAUGGAGAUUUGCUUUAAAAGCUCUCUCCUCAUUUGAACAAAGAUUUGAACCAACGAAGAAAAAAACCCACAUCAAUUAA
Molecule: non-coding RNA, 2109 nt
Organism: Phasianus colchicus (ring-necked pheasant)
Lineage: Eukaryota; Metazoa; Chordata; Aves; Galliformes; Phasianidae
Source: RefSeq, a predicted model, not a curated record